AUCUUGGACAAUGGGCGAAAGCCUGAUCCAGCCAUGCCGCGUGAGUGAUGAAGGCCUUCGGGUUGUAUAGCCCUUUUGCCAGGGACGAUAAUGACUGUACCUGGACAAUAAGCCCCGGCUAACUUCGUGCCAGCAGCCGCGGUAAUACGCAGGGGGCUAGCGUUGUUCGGAAUUACUGGGCGUAAAGCGUGCGCAGGCGGUUUCUCAAGUCAGGGGUGAAAGCCAGGAGCUCAACUCCGGAAUUGCCCUUGAAACUGUGAAGCUAGAGUGCGGGAGAGGUGAGUGGAAUUCCCAGUGUAGAGGUGAAAUUCGUAGAUAUUGGGAAGAACACCGGUGGCGAAGGCGGCUCACUGGCCCGUUUCUGACGCUCAUGCACGACAGCGUGGGGAUCAAACAGG
This 398-nucleotide ribosomal RNA is filed under the name uncultured bacterium. RNAcentral describes it as "bacterial SSU rRNA". It matches the Rfam family "Bacterial small subunit ribosomal RNA", at positions 361 to 776 of the family's 1533-position model. The record is from RNAcentral.